AUGAACGCUGGCGGCGUGCCUAAUACAUGCAAGUCGAGCGAACGGACGAGAAGCCUGCUUCUCUGAUGUUAGCGGCGGACGGGUGAGUAACACGUGGAUAACCUACCUAUAAGACUGGGAUAACUUCGGGAAACCGGAGCUAAUACCGGAUAAUAUUUUGAACCGCAUGGUUCAAAAGUAAAAGACGGUCUUGCUGUCACUUAUAGAUGGAUCCGCGCUGCAUUAGCUAGUUGGUAAGGUAACGGCUUACCAAGGCAACGAUGCAUAGCCGACCUGAGAGGGUGAUCGGCCACACUGGAACUGAGACACGGUCCAGACUCCUACGGGAGGCAGCAGUAGGGAAUCUUCCGCAAUGGGCGAAAGCCUGACGGAGCAACGCCGCGUGAGUGAUGAAGGUCUUCGGAUCGUAAAACUCUGUUAUUAGGGAAGAACAUAUGUGUAAGUAACUGUGCACAUCUUGACGGUACCUAAUCAGAAAGCCACGGCUAACUACGUG
This 496-nucleotide ribosomal RNA is filed under the name uncultured bacterium. RNAcentral's name for it is "partial 16S ribosomal RNA". It matches the Rfam family "Bacterial small subunit ribosomal RNA", at positions 29 to 507 of the family's 1533-position model. The record is from RNAcentral.